RNAcentral lists this ribosomal RNA (499 nucleotides) under uncultured soil bacterium. RNAcentral's name for it is "bacterial SSU rRNA". It matches the Rfam family "Bacterial small subunit ribosomal RNA", at positions 26 to 532 of the family's 1533-position model. The record is from RNAcentral.
AGAUUGAACGCUGGCGGCAUGCUUUACACAUGCAAGUCGAGCGGCAGCGCGGGGGCAACCCUGGCGGCGAGCGGCGAACGGGUGAGGAAUACAUCGGAACGUACCCCGGAGUGGGGGAUAACGCCGCGAAAGCGGCGCUAAUACCGCAUAUGCUCUGUGGAGGAAAGUGGGGGACCUGUGAGGGCCUCACGCUCUGGGCGCGGCCGAUGUCCGAUUAGCUAGUUGGUGAGGUAAUGGCUCACCAAGGCGACGAUCGGUAGCUGGUCUGAGAGGAUGAUCAGCCACACUGGGACUGAGACACGGCCCAGACUCCUACGGGAGGCAGCAGUGGGGAAUUUUGGACAAGUGGGGGCAACCUGAUCCAGCCAUGCCGCGUGCGGGAAGAAGGCCGUUCGGUUGUAAACCGUCGUUUAGUCGGGUAAGAAAAGGUUACUACCGUAAGUAAGGUAGUACUAGUGUACGGUACCGACGGUAAGUAAGCAACCGGACUAACGUACGU